UACGUAGGCAGCAAGCGUUGUUCGGAGUUACUGGGCGUAAAGGGUGUGUAGGCGGUUGUUUAAGGUUGGUGUGAAAUCUCCCGGCUCAACUGGGAGGGUGCGCCGAAUACUGAAUGACUAGAGUGCGGGAGAGGAAAGUGGAAUUCCUGGUGUAGCGGUGAAAUGCGUAGAUAUCAGGAGGAAUACCGAUGGCGAAGGCAGGUCUCUGGGCUGACACUGACGCUCAUGCACGAAAGCGUGGGGAGCAAACAGG
RNAcentral lists this ribosomal RNA (253 nucleotides) under uncultured bacterium. Its description in RNAcentral is "partial 16S ribosomal RNA". It matches the Rfam family "Bacterial small subunit ribosomal RNA", at positions 524 to 776 of the family's 1533-position model. The record is from RNAcentral.